RNAcentral lists this ribosomal RNA (490 nucleotides) under uncultured bacterium. RNAcentral's name for it is "partial 16S ribosomal RNA". It matches the Rfam family "Bacterial small subunit ribosomal RNA", at positions 30 to 507 of the family's 1533-position model. The record is from RNAcentral.
AUUGAACGCUGGCGGCAGGCCUAACACAUGCAAGUCGAACGGUAACAGGAAGCAGCUUGCUGCUUCGCUGACGAGUGGCGGACGGGUGAGUAAUGUCUGGGAAGCUGCCUGAUGGAGGGGGAGAACUACUGGAAACGGUAGCUAUUACCGCAUAAUGUCGCAAGACCAAAGAGGGGGACCUUCGGGCCUCUUGCCAUCGGGUGUGCCCAGAUGGGAUUAGCUUGUUGGUGGGGUAACGGCGCACCAAGGCGACGAUCCCUAGCUGGUCUGAGAGGAUGACCAGCCACACUGGAACUGAGACACGGUCCAGACUCCUACGGGAGGCAGCAGUGGGGAAUAUUGCACAAUGGGCGCAAGCCUGAUGCAGCCAUGCCGCGUGUAUGAAGAAGGCCUUCGGGUUGUAAAGUACUUUCAGCGGGGAGGAAGGGAGUAAAGUUAAUACCUUUGCUCAUUGACGUUACCCGCAGAAGAAGCACCGGCUAACUCCGUG